GUCAGUGUAGAAAGCCCAGGCAUUGUCCCAUAGCUGGCCCUGUGUGUUUGCACUGAUUCCUCAGAAUAAGUUUGCAGAUAGCUUAACUUCCAGAAUUCCUGAGUUUCACUAGUCCCCCUUCUUUAUGAUGAAUUGGAAAAAGGGUAUAUUCUGGGAUAAAGCAAGAGGAAACUGGGUGCAGCAAAGAUCCCUAGACCAUUUUUCCCAGUGGCCCAUUGCUCCUGCUGCUUUUUUCAUACCAGCUGAAUCUCCCUAAACCCCACGUCUGCGGCAAAGUCUUCGUGGUGAAACAGGUGAGUCACACUUUUCUGCUUCUCUGCAAUUACAAAUGUUAUCACCUCAUCUGACACAGAGAGGGUGUUGGUUGGAAAUACGCAUUAGGAAUAAGCUCUUUGGAAACAGCAAAACUGCCUUCAUGAAAUGAAGACUUUUUUUUAGAAAGUCUGGAGCUAAAGUUAUAAAAAUAAAGAGGCGUCAUCUCCCUUUCCUUCUCCUACAAUAAUGGAAAUGAAAUAUCAAAGUAAACAGCACCACAUCCAUGUCCUCAGCACAUGUGACUCGCUAACAGAACCAUGCCAGCCACCCCAUCCCUUCUCUCCCAUAUUCUCUGCUGUUCUCACUGUCUCUCAAGACCUGAUUUAAAACCACCUUCACUAAGAAGUCUUCCUGUCCCCCUUCUGGUCCUUCACGGAAUAUUAUUUUGCUUCUGAAACUUAAAAAAACAAUUUUGUUCUCAGGUCAUUCUCUGUGUACAUCCCAUCUCGUCCAUCCUACAGAUUAGAUGUUCUUCCAGGGUAGAGGCGACCCCAUCUCAUGUCGCAGUCUUCAGUACAAGAAGCGUCAAUCUCAGAUCUUACUCAUUUCCAACCUGUACCAAUCAAAGGCCCUCCCAGCCAAGAUAAAAGCAAAGUCUCCCUCCUCCAGAGCACAUGGGAAUGGCCCCCCAGUAGCUGGGGCAUGCAAGCUAAUGAAGUUUCAUCUUCCACCUCUAUCCAAAUAUGACCUUGCUGAUACCAUCUCCUAUUAGAUGACAAAUCCGGAUGUUUCUAUUGCAUGGUUGUUAUUUGCCACAUGCUUCCUGGACAAGUUUCUAGGUAACCUUAAUGUCUGUGCUUCUGGGGAAGGAGGAGUAGAAAAUAACUCACCUCUUCAGUAAGUGGUUUUAAAAAUAUAACAGUGUUUAAAAGCUUUUAGAGAGCAGCUCUCCUUCCGGCUGCUCCAGCUCUGUUUGCUUUGUGAUAGGAGCCCCCGUAACACUUCGUGCUUGGCAACAUCUGACGAGGACAGAAGGCAGGUUUAAAGCUGAGAAGAUUGAUUUUUCCUUUGUAGGGCUUUCCAUGAGGGGCGUGGGAGAGAAGUCACUUGGGGAAGCAGUGGUCAGUGAGGUUUACUUCUCCAUAUGCUCUGCAUUCAUGUGUAAGGCUAAACAAACGUGUUGUCUCCGCAAGCAAAUCCCACACCACAGAGAGGAGCAGUUUGUCCUGGAGGUCCUAAGGAGGUGACCAGUGACCUGGAGGGUAAAAGGUUGGGGCUCCUGAGACCUUUCUUCCAACUCUCAUUUCCAUCCUAAACUGGCAGGGGAAAUGUACCCAAAUUGCCUGUGUGUUUCGAUUUGAUGUGGACACACUGUGACCACUCAGGAUCGCUCUGGUGCUGCUGAACUCCAUGGUUCAUAUUAGGCCCGACUGUCUAGUUUUAGAAAGUGGGAGGAGAUUUCCCCUCUGCCAGGGCUUGGGGUUUAUGUUCCCCAGAGCAUUGAGCAAGAGCCUCAUGUUUACAGAAAUCUCAGGCCCCAUGAUUUCUUCCUGUCAGGGUAGAAGGAGAAGGAGUAGGCACAGACUGUGGAGUAGAUCUUGCCACUUCAGUCCCUUUGUUCUUGCCCAGCAUGAGGUUACCAAGGAAAGGAUACCUGGGGCGCUGGGGGUGAGGGUAUGUAUUGGUUGUUUGAACUCUGAAAAUAUAAUUUUAAAAUUGGCAUUGUAAAUCAAAUCAUUAGGUCUUCUGCAUAUAGUUUUAUUUUUUCUAAAACUUCAUAAAGCUGUCAAAAAUACCUACACUAUAUUUUAAAUGCUGUGGGCAAUAUAGUUUUUAAAAUUUUAUUGUGAAGUGCUGUUGUAAUUCCUUUAAGAGAUGUACACUGUCUACCU
This 2147-nucleotide long non-coding RNA is filed under the name Homo sapiens (human). RNAcentral's name for it is "non-protein coding LINC01554:10". The record is from RNAcentral. Lineage: Eukaryota; Metazoa; Chordata; Mammalia; Primates; Hominidae.